GCUGAUGCAGCACAGUCUGAGUUGCCUGCAGAGAUUCAGCAGGUGUUGUCACAAUUCAGUUCAGUCUUUGAUGUUCCCAAAGGAUUACCUCCAAGGAGAAAAUAUGAUCAUACCAUUCCCUUAAUUCCUGGGGCUCAUCCUUUUUCAAUCAGGCCUUAUAGAUUGGCUCCUUUGCUUAAGGAUGAAUUGGAAAAGCAAGUUCAGGAAAUGCUGGCCUCUGGUAUUAUUAGACACAGUAACAGUCCAUUCUCUUGUCCUAUGAUUUUGGUACAAAAGAAGGACUAG
Molecule: ribosomal RNA, 285 nt
Filed under: Triticum aestivum (bread wheat)
Lineage: Eukaryota; Viridiplantae; Streptophyta; Magnoliopsida; Poales; Poaceae
Description: partial small subunit ribosomal RNA
Source: RNAcentral